This is a long non-coding RNA of Amblyraja radiata (thorny skate), 303 nucleotides long. RefSeq lists it as uncharacterized. Lineage: Eukaryota; Metazoa; Chordata; Chondrichthyes; Rajiformes; Rajidae. The transcript is spliced from 4 exons. The record is from RefSeq and is a predicted model, not a curated record.
ACAACAUAUCUCUGUGAGCAGGCGUGACCAUUAACAAAUCCAAACUGCGCUCGCAGCUGACAACUAAAUGACAUUAUGAAAAUGACAACUGCCCAGAAACUGGUCCCUGAUGUUGACAGGUUGGUUAAAGCCAAGAGAUGUCAGGUGGCUGGAAGCAGCAAGUGAAAAAUGAGUGACACUGUUCGAUGUACUGCAACAUGUAAGCAAAAUGCAUAAUGAAAUAUUGAGUGUUAUAAUAUUGUGAUUCAUUCAUUUUCUGACUAUUCUAUUAUUGUAAAUGUUAUCAUAAAGCGCGAUCCCUCG